AGUGAACGCUGGCGGUAGGCCUAACACAUGCAAGUCGAACGGCAGCACAGUAAGAGCUUGCUCUUACGGGUGGCGAGUGGCGGACGGGUGAGGAAUACAUCGGAAUCUACUUUUUCGUGGGGGAGAACGUAGGGAAACUUACGCUAAUACCGCAUACGACCUACGGGGGAAAGCAGGGGAUCUUCGGACCUUGCGCGAUUGAAUGAGCCGAUGUCGGAUUAGCUAGUUGGCGGGGUAAAGGCCCACCAAGGCGACGAUCCGUAGCUGGUCUGGGAGGAUGAUCAGCCACACUGGAACUGAGACACGGUCCAGACUCCUACGGGAGGCCGCAGUGGGGAAUAUUGGACAAUGGGCGCAAGCCUGAUCCAGCCAUACCGCGUGGGUGAAGAAGGCCUUCGGGUUGUAAAGCCCUUUUGUUGGGAAAGAAAAGCAGCAGGUUAAUACCCCGCUGUUCUGACAGUACCCAAAGAAUAAGCACCGGCUAACUUCGUG
RNAcentral lists this ribosomal RNA (492 nucleotides) under uncultured bacterium. Its description in RNAcentral is "partial 16S ribosomal RNA". It matches the Rfam family "Bacterial small subunit ribosomal RNA", at positions 29 to 507 of the family's 1533-position model. The record is from RNAcentral.